Molecule: non-coding RNA, 242 nt
Organism: Pelobates cultripes (western spadefoot toad)
Lineage: Eukaryota; Metazoa; Chordata; Amphibia; Anura; Pelobatidae
Source: the annotation of a GenBank genome assembly
AUGUGAGAUAACAUUAAGUGGUCUUGCUAUGCAAGAACACUUAACUAGAAAAACUACAAUUUCUGGGGAAAUUGUGUGAAGUGUUCUUGCCUCCACCAGGAGUCUACAACUGGAGUGGGCAGAGUAACUGUUAUCAUUUAUAUAGCACAUUCAAUUGCAACGUUGUUGCACAGUUACAUUAAACCAUACAUUUCUAAAACAUUAGCAGGUGUUCAAAAGGCCCUGUCUAUGACAUCACUUGC